GGGCAGAUGGCCGAGCGGUCUAAGGCGCUAGCUUCAGGUGCUAGUGUGGUAACACUCGUGGGUUCAAAUCCCACUCUGCUCA
Rhizoclosmatium globosum is the source of this 82-nucleotide transfer RNA. It matches the Rfam family "tRNA". From Rfam's summary of the family: Transfer RNA (tRNA) molecules are approximately 80 nucleotides in length. Their secondary structure includes four short double-helical elements and three loops (D, anti-codon, and T loops). Further hydrogen bonds mediate the characteristic L-shaped molecular structure. tRNAs have two regions of fundamental functional importance: the anti-codon, which is responsible for specific mRNA codon recognition, and the 3' end, to which the tRNAs corresponding amino acid is attached (by aminoacyl-tRNA synthetases). tRNAs cope with the degeneracy of the genetic code in two manners: having more than one tRNA (with a specific anti-codon) for a particular amino acid; and 'wobble' base-pairing, i.e. permitting non-standard base-pairing at the 3rd anti-codon position. Lineage: Eukaryota; Fungi; Chytridiomycota; Chytridiomycetes; Chytridiales; Chytriomycetaceae. The record is from Rfam.